UACGUAGGGGGCGAGCGUUGCCCGAAUUUACUGGGCGUAAAGCGCACGUAGGCGGCUUCGUAAGUCUGGUGUGAAAUCUCACGGCUCAACCGGGAGGCUGCACCAGAUACUGCGGAGCUCGAGGACGGGAGAGGAGAUCGGAAUUCCCGGUGUAGCGGUGAAAUGCAUUGAUAUCGGGAGGAACACCAGUGGCGAAGGCUGAUCUCUGGCCCGUUGCUGACGCUGAGGUGCGAAAGCUGGGGGAGCGAAAGGG
RNAcentral lists this ribosomal RNA (253 nucleotides) under uncultured bacterium. RNAcentral describes it as "partial 16S ribosomal RNA". It matches the Rfam family "Bacterial small subunit ribosomal RNA", at positions 524 to 776 of the family's 1533-position model. The record is from RNAcentral.